GCGGCGGACGGGUGAGUAACACGUGGGCAACCUGCCCUGCAGACUGGGAUAACUUCGGGAAACCGGAGCUAAUACCGGAUAACACCGAAAACCGCAUGGUUUUCGGUUGAAAGGCGGCUUUUAGCUGUCACUGCAGGAUGGGCCCGCGGCGCAUUAGCUAGUUGGUGAGGUAACGGCUCACCAAGGCGACGAUGCGUAGCCGACCUGAGAGGGUGACCGGCCACACUGGGACUGAGACACGGCCCAGACUCCUACGGGAGGCAGCAGUAGGGAAUCUUCCGCAAUGGACGAAAGUCUGACGGAGCAACGCCGCGUGAGCGAAGAAGGUCUUCGGAUCGUAAAGCUCUGUUGUCAGGGAAGAACAAGUGCGUUCGAACAGGGCGGUACCUUGACGGUACCUGACGAGGAAGCCACGGCUAACUACGUGCCAGCAGCCGCGGUAAUAC
Molecule: ribosomal RNA, 446 nt
Filed under: Aeribacillus sp. G19C023
Lineage: Bacteria; Bacillati; Bacillota; Bacilli; Caryophanales; Bacillaceae
Description: bacterial SSU rRNA
Rfam family: Bacterial small subunit ribosomal RNA
Source: RNAcentral